RNAcentral lists this transfer RNA (74 nucleotides) under Pseudomonadota bacterium. Its description in RNAcentral is "tRNA-Pro". It matches the Rfam family "tRNA". From Rfam's summary of the family: Transfer RNA (tRNA) molecules are approximately 80 nucleotides in length. RNAcentral also lists the same sequence under 1 other name. Lineage: Bacteria; Pseudomonadati; Pseudomonadota. The record is from RNAcentral.
CGGGGUGUAGUUUAACGGUAGAAUAGGCGCAUGGGGUGCGUCUGGCGGCAGUUCAAUUCUGCCCACCCCGACCA